RNAcentral lists this ribosomal RNA (919 nucleotides) under uncultured bacterium. Its description in RNAcentral is "bacterial SSU rRNA". It matches the Rfam family "Bacterial small subunit ribosomal RNA", at positions 33 to 926 of the family's 1533-position model. The record is from RNAcentral.
ACGCUGGCGGCGUGCCUAACACAUGCAAGUCGAGCGGCAGCGAGUUUUACACUGAAUUCUGGAAGCUUCUGGGUAAUAUAGAAGAUCUAUUCAAGAAUUUUGUGUAAAAUGUCGGCGAGCGGCGGACGGCUGAGUAACGCGUAGGAAUUAGCCCCAAAGUGAGGAAUAACUGCCCGAAAGGGUAGCUAAUGCCGCAUACGGUCUUCGGAUUAAAGCCUUCGGGCGCUUUGGGAGAAGCCUGCGUUGGAUUAGGUAGUUGGUAGGGUAAUGGCCUACCAAGCCGACGAUCCAUAGCUGGUCUGAGAGGAUGAUCAGCCAGACUGGAACUGAGACACGGUCCAGACUCCUACGGGAGGCAGCAGUGAGGAAUCUUCCACAAUGGGCGAAAGCCUGAUGGAGCAACGCCGCGUGAAGGAUGAAGGCCUUCGGGUUGUAAACUUCUUUUAUGAGUGAAGAAUAUGACGGUAACUCAUGAAUAAGCACCGGCUAACUACGUGCCAGCAGCCGCGGUCAUACGUAGGGUGCAAGCAUUAUCCGGAGUGACUGGGCGUAAAGAGUUGCGUAGGCGGUUUAAUAAGUGAAUAGUGAAACCUGGUGGCUCAACCAUACAGACUAUUAUUCAAACUGUUAAACUCGAGAAUGGUAGAGGUAACUGGAAUUUCUAGUGUAGGAGUGAAAUCCGUAGAUAUUAGAAGGAACACCGAUGGCGUAGGCAGGUUACUGGGCCAUUUCUGACGCUAAGGCACGAAAGCGUGGGGAGCGAACCGGAUUAGAUACCCGGGUAGUCCACGCCGUAAACGAUGGAUACUAGCUGUUGGAGGUAUCGACCCCUUCAGUAGCGAAGCUAACGCGUUAAGUAUCCCGCCUGUGGAGUACGGCCGCAAGGCUAAAACAUAAAGGAAUUGACGGGGACCCGCAC